GAUGAAGAACGCAGCAAAAUGCGAUAAGUAAUGUGAAUUGCAGAAUUCAGUGAAUCAUCGAAUCUUUGAACGCACAUUGCGCCCGCCAGUAUUCUGGCGGGCAUGCCUGUUCGAGCGUCAUUUCAACCCUCAAGCACAGCUUGGUGUUGGGACUCGCGUUAAUUCGCGUUCCUCAAAUUGAUUGGCGGUCACGUCGAGCUUCCAUAGCGUAGUAGUAAAACCCUCGUUACUGGUAAUCGUCGCGGCCACGCCGUUAAUCCCCAACUUCUGAAUGUUGACCUCGGAUCAGGUAGGAAUACCCGCUGAACUUAAGCAUAUCAAUAAGCGGAGGA
This 332-nucleotide unclassified non-coding RNA is filed under the name soil metagenome. RNAcentral describes it as "partial contains 5.8S ribosomal RNA, internal transcribed spacer 2, and large subunit ribosomal RNA". The stretch from base 1 to 120 matches the Rfam family "5.8S ribosomal RNA", at positions 35 to 154 of the family's 154-position model. The record is from RNAcentral.